UGUUUUUCAUUACCAUGGGAAACGGGGUUAAUUUUCUUCUGACGUUUUGCAUAUACUGGUUCCUAUUUUAUUGCUUUUUCUUUUUUGCUACUAUAAUCUCUUCAUUGCCUUACAUCACCUGCUAUUAUUAUUUAUUUCAAAGUAAUUUUAUAUGAGAUUUAUACUGGAGAUGAUGGCAAGAUGACAAUAGGAAGCUUCGAUUCUGAGGCUAUAUGUCUACUCCUGACGACGGUUUCACAGUGCUGACUGGAGAAAACUCAUCAGUCUCAAGUACAGAUUGUUCCAGCCUGCUGUCAGGGAGUUUGUGACCUCAUCAGCAGAAAGCACUGAAUGGUGUUAAGAGGCUUGUUGGUGUAUAAAGUGAAAGGCUGAACCGAGGCUGCCCCAGAGGGAAGAGUACUGAUUGAAGCAUGGUGUACCUCCACUAUGAGUUUUGAAGGGUCACACGUGGCAGUAAGGAAAAAUGUGGAUCGACUGUGAGGCAGAACGGCAGUUUAUCCUCACUAUCAUUCCAAGGAACUGUACCUGACAUUAAGCAUCUAAGGAUGAAAAGCAGUCAUUGUUGUGCUUGAGUCCAAAGACCCUGUCUUUGCCAAGGAGAUGGGCUAGAAACACAUGCUGCGGCAGAAUGGAGAAGGUCAAGGGUGGACCGAAUAUGGUAUUUAUUGUUUGUCAACAAUAGCAUUUUUAAUUUUUUGUCUCCUUUUUACUUAUGUACAUCCUUUUUAAAGCCAUGUAACCUAAGUAGUACCCUGGCCCUUAUAUUUGCUUUUGAAGUCUCGUGUUUUCUCUGUUUGGGUGAAGUGCAGACAUGCUUCCUUAAAUACGAAGGAAAGAUACCUUGUUUGUUGAAAGUAGACCUGUUCUUCCCUGAGAAGUGAAAAUGUCAGCUUUCUAGAAGUGGGUGGGUGGGACAUCCAGCUGAGCUGGAACAGCCAACUGAAAGAUUAGAAAUCCUCUGGUCAACCCCAACUGAACCUUGUUCUUAUGGGCCACUGAAUGGGUAGUUUGAGAAGGGAAAUUUCAGGAGAGGGCAGAUGAGGAAAGGGCAGAACAGUGGUUUCCGUUAAUGAAACUAGGCAGUUACAUCGGUAAGGAAGGGUUCCUGGGGAAUAACACGAUAGAUGUAUUCCCCUGUAUUCAAAUCUUGUUCUCCUGCUAGUUGACUCCUGAAAAAUUUCCCCAUGCCUUUGAACCUCAGUUACCUUACAUAA
Arvicanthis niloticus (Nile rat) is the source of this 1214-nucleotide non-coding RNA. NCBI's taxonomy places the organism in Eukaryota, Metazoa, Chordata, Mammalia, Rodentia, Muridae. The record is from RefSeq and is a predicted model, not a curated record.